AUAGGGUGAAGAGCGUACAUUUCUUUCUCAUGUUCUUGCAUUUUUUGCUGCAAGUGAUGGUAUUGUGAAUGAGAACCUAGUUCAGAGGUUCAGCCAGGAAGUAAAUGCUGUUGAAGCAAAAUGUUUUUAUGGAUUUCAAAUAGCAAUGGAGAAUAUUCAUUCUGAAAUGUACAGUUUGUUAAUUGACACCUACAUAAAAGACCCUGCAGAGAAAAAACGACUUUUUAAUGGUAUCGAAACAAUACCAUACGUGAAGAAGAAGGCAGAUUGGGCAUUAGAUUGGAUAUAUUCUGAAGAUGCUAGUUUUGGUGAGCGAUUAGUAGCAUUUGCUGCUAUUGAAGGCAUUUUCUUCUCUGGAUCUUUUGCUGCAGUAUUUUGGUUUAAGAAAAGAGGUUUAUUACCAGGUCUUACCUACUCGAAUGAACUAAUAAGUCGAGAUGAAGGGCUCCAUUGUGACUUUGCCUGUGCAUUGUUUCACCACCUAAAGCACAAACCUAGCCAGAGUAAAAUCAGAGAGAUUAUAUGCUCAGCUGUAGCUAUUGAAGUGGAGUUUUUAGUUUAUGCUGUACCUGUGAAGCUGAUUGGGAUGAACACUGCCCUCAUGCAGGCUUACAUUCAGUUUGUUGCCGACCGACUUCUAUUAGAAUUCCAAUGUGAAAAGGUUUACAAGUCUGAAAAUCCCUUUGAUUUUAUGGAAAACAUCUCCUUGCAGGGCAAAGCAAACUUCUUUGAGAAGCGUGUAGCAGAAUACCGCAAAGCAAAUAUUAUGGUCCCAGAACUAGCACGACAUCAGUUUACCUUGGAUGCAGAUUUCUAAUAAUUACAUUAUUAUCAUUCCAUUUAGUAGUUAACAUUAAUUUUCUUUAUUUAUAUUUUUUACCCUGACCUUAAUCUUCCAAUGCCUUGAAAUUGGAAUGUAAUAUUUAUUACUGUUGACAAAAAGUCCAAUAUACACGGUAUAAUAAUAAUAAUAAAUAUAAUUUACAUGGUAUACAAUUUGCUGUACUCGACUAGUUUUUUAUCCUCAUGAUACUGGUUUAUCCUCAUGAUAC
Molecule: RNA transcript, 1052 nt
Organism: Anneissia japonica
Lineage: Eukaryota; Metazoa; Echinodermata; Crinoidea; Comatulida; Comatulidae
Gene name: ribonucleoside-diphosphate reductase subunit M2-like
Exons: 6
Source: RefSeq, a predicted model, not a curated record